GACGAACGCUGGCGGCGUGCUUAACACAUGCAAGUCGAACGGAAAGGCCCUGCUUUUGUGGGGUGCUCGAGUGGCGAACGGGUGAGUAGCACGUGAGUAACCUGCCCUUGACUUUGGGAUAACUUCAGGAAACUGGGGCUAAUACCGGAUAGGAGCUCCUGCUGCAUGGUGGGGGUUGGAAAGUUUCGGCGGUUGGGGAUGGACUCGCGGCUUAUCAGCCUGUUGGUGGGGUAGUGGCUUACCAAGGCUUUGACGGGUAGCCGGCCUGGGAGGGUGACCGGCCACAUUGGGACUGAGAGACGGCCCAGACUCCUACGGGAGGCAGCAGUGGGGAACAUUGCACAAUGGGCGGAAGCCUGAUGCAGCAACGCCGCGUGCGGGAUGACGGCCUUCGGGUUGUAAACCUCUUUCGCCUGUGACGAAGCGUGAGUGACGGUAAUGGGUAAAGAAGCACCGGCUAACUACGUG
This 468-nucleotide ribosomal RNA is filed under the name uncultured bacterium. Its description in RNAcentral is "partial 16S ribosomal RNA". It matches the Rfam family "Bacterial small subunit ribosomal RNA", at positions 28 to 507 of the family's 1533-position model. The record is from RNAcentral.